Molecule: unclassified non-coding RNA, 773 nt
Filed under: Hevea brasiliensis (rubber tree)
Lineage: Eukaryota; Viridiplantae; Streptophyta; Magnoliopsida; Malpighiales; Euphorbiaceae
Source: RNAcentral
AAAUAAUGGAAUUGGAAAUGGAAACGGGGAAACAGAAAUGGGAUGAAUCAGGUUGAAAUGGAACGAAUUAAAGGGGACAGACGAGUUGUCCUCCUAUUUUGUAAUUUUUCAACCCAUUAGCAAAAUGACUAAAAUGAGAAGUAAAUCAAUAAUUCAACCAUGUAUGCUAGAUAUCAAGUGAAUAGACAGCUAAAAUAGCAUUUUUUGAAAUCCUUUAUAUAGAGUGAGCCUUUAGAAACUCCCUUUUGUGCUGUGAGAAUCUUUUCAGAUGUCCAAAGCCACGUAAUCAAAUGCUGCAACAAGGGCUCCUACAAAGCAGGUUUUUUAUCCUUCAAAAGCAUUCAUUCCCUGCCCUAAAGACAAACCAAUUUGCAGCACAAUAUCAAAGUUUCUCCAGCUUUGGUGUUACAAAAUGGUGAAACGUCCUGUAUCUUCCCGACAUGCCUGUAUUCCCUUGUUUCAAAUGCAUUUCAAAGUGAAUGAAUUAUGAAUCACCAUAGAUGAAACAGUAAAUAACAGAUUGUUCUUGAAAUUCUGAUACGUAAUGGGUGAUACAUUAUUUAAACCAUGUCAGAAAUUUGUGGCGCACUUGGUAAUGUCAGAAAUUUGUGGUGCACUUGGUAAAGUAUGAAGAUUGCAAGAAAUUUACUUCCAGGCAUAACUUUCUUUUGUGGAUUCUAACCCAUGUAUUUUGAGUGUCCUGGUUUUGCUAUCUUUGGUACUUGAAUUGUAAACUCGUGUCUUGUUUCAGGAGGUCUCAUCAGCCAUUGGUU